Molecule: ribosomal RNA, 468 nt
Filed under: uncultured bacterium
Lineage: Bacteria
Description: partial 16S ribosomal RNA
Rfam family: Bacterial small subunit ribosomal RNA
Source: RNAcentral
GACGAACGCUGGCGGCGUGCUUAACACAUGCAAGUCGAGCGGAAAGGCGCUGAUCUUGUGGGGUGCUCGAGUGGCGAACGGGUGAGUAACACGUGAGUAACAUGCCCUUGUCUUUGGGAUAACUUCAGGAAACUGGGGCUAAUACCGGAUAGGAGAUCCUGAUGCAUGGUGGGGGUUGGAAAGUUUCGGCGGUGGGGGCUGGACUCGCGGCUUAUCAGCUUGAUGGUGGGGUAGUGGCUUACCAAGGCUAUGACGGGUAGCCGGCCUGGGAGGGUGACCGGCCACAUUGGGACUGCGGUACGGCCCAGACUCCUACGUGAGGCAGCAGUGGGGAAUAUUGCACAAUGGGCGGAAGCCUGAUGCAGCAACGCCGCGUGCGGGAUGACGGCCUUCGGGUUGUAAACCGCUGUCGCCUGUGACGAAGCGUGAGUGACGGUAAUGGGUAAAGAAGCACCGGCUAACUACGUG